Molecule: ribosomal RNA, 497 nt
Filed under: uncultured bacterium
Lineage: Bacteria
Description: partial 16S ribosomal RNA
Rfam family: Bacterial small subunit ribosomal RNA
Source: RNAcentral
GACGAACGCUGGCGGCGUGCCUAAUACAUGCAAGUAGAACGCUGAAGAGAGGAGCUUACUCUUCUUGGAUGAGUUGCGAACGGGUGAGUAACGCGUAGGUAACCUGCCUUGUAGCGGGGGAUAACUAUUGGAAACGAUAGCUAAUACCGCAUAACAAUGGGUGACACAUGUCAUUUAUUUGAAAGGGGCAAUUGCUCCACUACAAGAUGGACCUGCGUUGUAUUAGCUAGUAGGUGAGGUAAUGGCUCACCUAGGCGACGAUACAUAGCCGACCUGAGAGGGUGAUCGGCCACACUGGGACUGAGACACGGCCCAGACUCCUACGGGAGGCAGCAGUAGGGAAUCUUCGGCAAUGGGGGCAACCCUGACCGAGCAACGCCGCGUGAGUGAAGAAGGUUUUCGGAUCGUAAAGCUCGGUUGUAAGUCAAGAACGGGUGUGAGAGUGGAAAGUUCACACUGUGACGGUAGCUUACCAGAAAGAGACGGCUAACUACGUG